UCUUAUGUACAUGCUUACAACAUAGCGUUAAUGCACCAGAUCCCAUUAGAACUUCGUAGUUAAGUGUGCUCAGACUAGAGCAGUACUGGGAUGGGUGACUGCCCGAGAAGUCCUAAUGUUUUACAAGAC
Non-coding RNA from Picea glauca (white spruce), 129 nucleotides. The record is from Rfam. NCBI's taxonomy places the organism in Eukaryota, Viridiplantae, Streptophyta, Pinopsida, Pinales, Pinaceae.